GCAUCGGUGGCUCAGUGGUAGAAUACUCGUCUACCACGGUCCGGGUUCGAUUCUCGGCCGAUGCA
This is a non-coding RNA of Cordylochernes scorpioides, 65 nucleotides long. Lineage: Eukaryota; Metazoa; Arthropoda; Arachnida; Pseudoscorpiones; Chernetidae. The record is from the annotation of a GenBank genome assembly.